RNAcentral lists this ribosomal RNA (253 nucleotides) under uncultured bacterium. RNAcentral's name for it is "partial 16S ribosomal RNA". It matches the Rfam family "Bacterial small subunit ribosomal RNA", at positions 524 to 776 of the family's 1533-position model. The record is from RNAcentral.
UACGAAGGGGGCUAGCGUUGCUCGGAAUCACUGGGCGUAAAGCGCACGUAGGCGGCUUUUUAAGUCAGGGGUGAAAUCCUGGAGCUCAACUCCAGAACUGCCUUUGAUACUGAGAAGCUUGAGUCCGGGAGAGGUGAGUGGAACUGCGAGUGUAGAGGUGAAAUUCGUAGAUAUUCGCAAGAACACCAGUGGCGAAGGCGGUUCUCUGGGACGGUACUGACGCUGAGACGCGAAAGCGUGGGGAGCGAACAGG